Long non-coding RNA from Mastomys coucha (southern multimammate mouse), 1513 nucleotides. RefSeq lists it as uncharacterized. The record is from RefSeq and is a predicted model, not a curated record. NCBI's taxonomy places the organism in Eukaryota, Metazoa, Chordata, Mammalia, Rodentia, Muridae. The transcript is spliced from 2 exons.
CCCCAUGGUCUAGCCUCUCACAGUGUGCUCUCACGACCCACAAGCCCAGGCCGUGCUGAUUGAUGUGACCCUAUAAAGAGCCAGCUGGGCCACACGAGCUGGGUGAAGCUUAAUAAGGGCAUUUUGAAGCUGAUAAGAGCCAGAGCUGCUCGUUAAGAUUCCGGGGGCUGCGGAUUCCUCUGUGCAGUACUUCGUCUUCUUCAUCAUCAUCUCCUCUCUGUCUUAAGUGCAGCAGAUAAAGCUCACUGAGCGUUCGGAGGGUGACACAAGAGAGCAAACGCAGGAGCCUUUGAUUUUUAAAGGACUACAUUAAAAGGCGCUUGUGACAUUAAAGGGUCCCAGGUUCCAGCUGGGAUCAAGGACAAAUGGCUGAGCAGCCUCCUUACUGGGUUAUAGAAAUGUAUUUGGGACAAGAGGUGGCAGUGGCUGUGGGCUAGCAUUCAGAGACCUGGUGUGGCUCUGUCAUCCCCAAAUAGACAGUGGAUGUGUCCUCAGUGACUUCAGGCCUCAGUUUCCCUGGUUUCAAGCUGGCGGGGGGGGGAGGGAAGGGGGAGGGGGAGUAAGAUUUAGAGCAGUCUCACUUCUGCGUGGACCAUUCCCUCCCACUGGGAGCAUCUUGCACAUCACUUGAGCCUAGGAUAGGUCAGUGACAGUGAAGACAAUGCUGGCCCGGUGUGAGCAGCCAGGCAGGCUGUGGUCCAGGAUGCCACAAGAACCUCAUUUGAUUCUUUAACUCCAGCAGCUGCCACUCCCAAUAGAGGACACCUUCUUCAAGUCAUCCAGUGCCCAUACCACACCUGGUUAAGUCACCUCCUUCCAGAGGGAGACAGAAGACAUGGGGAGACAGAGAGAGGAAGACAGAGACAGACGGAGACAGACAGAUAAGACCAUAGAGGGAGAGAGACAGAGACAUAGAGAUAAGACAAUAGAGGAGCAGAGACAUACAGAGACAAAAACACAAGAGAUAGGAACAAGCAGUGAGGUGCCUUUUCUUUUUCUGUUCCUUUGACAAUCUAAAGACAAAAGCUACAGACCUGCUCCCAAAGGACACUCAGGUCAACCCCAAUGCACUGUACAUGAGGAAAUGGCCAUUCUAGAACUCAGCUGCCCUCUGGGCACCUAACGGAGAAGUUAAACCUGAGGUUGGCUGCAGAUUCAAGUUCCUGCUCAGAUAUAACAAACCCACUGGAUGGAGGGAUUAGAUCUCCCUUCACCAGAGCCAAAAUGGAUGAAAUUGAGAGGCGAAAUGCAAAGAAAGAUAUCUGACAGCCCACGAGAGCAGCGGCACCAUCUUCACUGGGAAAGGAUCCAUUUUCUUGCCCCGAAUGGCUACAUCUCCAGGGAACCUGCAGGCUUGAGCAGAAGAGGGUCAGAUUUCCCACAGAUCCAUGGCUGGGGUUUCUGGUGCGCAACCCCCCUCCAAUCCCCCCAAUUCACAUUGUUUGAAUUCACUUACUGAGAGCAAAAUCCAACUGAAAGUAAAAAGACACUCAGAGAUGCUUAUUUUAAAGAA